This 1785-nucleotide long non-coding RNA is filed under the name Cyanistes caeruleus (blue tit). RNAcentral describes it as "lncRNA (ENSCCEG00000010911.1)". Lineage: Eukaryota; Metazoa; Chordata; Aves; Passeriformes; Paridae. The record is from RNAcentral.
CGGGUUUUUUUGGAAAGUGUGUGCAUAUUACUGUUACUUCUAGUAACAUAUAGAAGUACAUAGAAUACUAGAAGUAAUACUUCAGUAUUGCUCUAAAGGGUGCAGUGCUUUGCUAUACAAAGAGAAGUCCUUGUGCUAGGAAUUUUACAAGUGGUUGAGCUCUCUUCACGCUGACAGGUCAGAUCUAUAAAGCAAUUAGUCAUGCAUGUAUAGUUUUGAAUGUUUGAUUUCCCUUACUGAGUUUUCAGCAGACCAGGUGUAUCUACACCUCAUCAGAUCCAACCCUGAGUACUUGAUGACACGGGUACUUGUGAGAGGUGAGAUCAGGAAGCCACAGUUUUGGGUGGGAAAUGGGACAUCAUUUAUGUAGUUCCAAGAAAUGAUUGGAACCUGGAAUUGUUCACCCUUGAGAAAUUGUGAUAUUUCAGUAUUAGUAUUUCCAGACAACUAAGGAAAGCAAGACAGCACCUGUCAAAAUGAUUUAUGAAACAGGAAUUUUUCAAAAGCUUUUUGACACUUCACUUGAAAAGUUUGGCUUAAAACAAUUUUCUAAAUUGUACAUAUUAUUGGAGAUUAUUUUAACAUUGAAUGUUAUCUGCUUGAAUUAGUAUGCUGUCCUAAGAGACUUAGAAUUUAUGUGUCUUAUCUUUUCAGAGUCCUCCUUGACAAGAUCCUUGGAUAGAAAACAUUUUCAUAAUAUGCUGCAGUCAUGUUUUUUUUUCCAUCUGAUAUUCAGGAGGAUCGCACUUGGCCUCCUUUUGGAACUCCAGGGUGUCAGAAGCUGAGUGAACACACCAUGAGGCUGGGAGACAUGAAAGCACCACAGUCAAGAGUCAUCUGGUUCUUCACUGGCUGUGCACUCAGCCAAAGGCAGCAAACAGAGGAGGGAGGGCUGAAGCUGCCAUUUGACUGCACGGGAAAGCACCAUAUGAAGAAAGGUGUGCAGCCAUCCUCGGUUCAAAUAAAUUAGCCAGAAACUGUGCUCUGCUGCACCUCACACAGGGUGACCAUGUGGUGACUCACAAAGUCCAUUGUGUAGGUCCACAGGAGGUGGAAAACAUCCCACACACCAUACAUUCAUCUUACACAAUGAAACAGCAUCACAGUAAUUAACCUUUUAACUAAUCACCCAAACUGGCCUGCCUUCAAUGGGACUUAUUUUCCUCCUGCCACACAGCUGUUGGCCUUCACAGAAUGAGUUUAGUUUGUGUGAAAGAGGGGUUUAAUCCAUGCAGGUUCCAACUCCCCUGACCUGUGUCUUUCCUGACCAGCAAGCUGCAGGCUGUGAAGGGGGCUAAUAGCUGGCACUGCUUAUUUGAAGCUAGGGCUUAUGUCUAACACUUUGACUGCAACACUGGUUGAAGGGCUGACAUCCACUGGUGAGUGCUUAUGGCUUGAUGAGGAUUGGCAUGUUGGCUGGACUUUGAUAAUUCAUCUUUUUAUCUCACAACUGUGAGACAAAGUGAGAAAAAUAUAUAUAUAUUUUUAAUUGAAAUUUAAGUGCUUCAUCUCAUGCUUGCCACAGAGACUUCCAGGUACAACAAAACUGCUCAAGACAAGUUGUGCUUGUUUGACUGUCCCACCUUUAGUUUCCUUUGGAUAGUAAGCACAAAAUCCCAUACUACUUACUAAUGGCUACCUUAAAUUGCUCACCAUUUUAAGUUCUCAGCUUCAAGAUGAAGGCUCCUUGGACAGUGCUGAAGAACUAAUUUAGUCUCCUUCACAAUUUGAGAAAUUGAUUACUGUCACAAUAAAUGAAAUCCUACUUUCUGGUAGCUAAGGACU